RNAcentral lists this ribosomal RNA (812 nucleotides) under uncultured bacterium. RNAcentral's name for it is "bacterial SSU rRNA". It matches the Rfam family "Bacterial small subunit ribosomal RNA", at positions 73 to 895 of the family's 1533-position model. The record is from RNAcentral.
UCGGUGCUUGCACCGGGUGAUCAGUGGCGAACGGGUGAGUAACACGUGAGCAACCUGCCCCCGACCCUGGGAUAACCCCGAGAAAUCGGAGCUAAUACCGGAUACGAGACGCACAGGCAUCUGUAGCGUCUGGAAAGAUUCAUCGGUCAGGGAUGGGCUCGCGGCCUAUCAGCUAGUUGGUGAGGUAGUGGCUCACCAAGGCGACGACGGGUAGCCGGCCUGAGAGGGCGACCGGCCACACUGGGACUGAGACACGGCCCAGACUCCUACGGGAGGCAGCAGUGGGGAAUAUUGCACAAUGGGCGCAAGCCUGAUGCAGCGACGCCGCGUGGGGGAUGAAGGCCUUCGGGUUGUAAACCCCUUUCAGCAGGGAAGAAGCGAAAGUGACGGUACCUGCAGAAGAAGCGCCGGCUAACUACGUGCCAGCAGCCGCGGUAAUACGUAGGGCGCAAGCGUUGUCCGGAUUUAUUGGGCGUAAAGAGCUCGUAGGCGGUUUGUCGCGUCUGCUGUGAAAACCCGAGGCUCAACCUCGGGCCUGCAGUGGGUACGGGCAGACUAGAGUGCGGUAGGGGAGACUGGAAUUCCUGGUGUAGCGGUGGAAUGCGCAGAUAUCAGGAGGAACACCGAUGGCGAAGGCAGGUCUCUGGGCCGCAACUGACGCUGAGGAGCGAAAGCAUGGGGAGCGAACAGGAUUAGAUACCCUGGUAGUCCAUGCCGUANACGUUGGGCACUAGGUGUGGGGCUCAUUCCACGAGNUCCGUGCCGCAGCAGACGCAUUAAGUGCCCCGCCUGGGGAGUACGGCCGCAAGGCU